RNAcentral lists this transfer RNA (68 nucleotides) under Camelus ferus (Wild Bactrian camel). It matches the Rfam family "tRNA". Rfam says of the family: Transfer RNA (tRNA) molecules are approximately 80 nucleotides in length. Their secondary structure includes four short double-helical elements and three loops (D, anti-codon, and T loops). Lineage: Eukaryota; Metazoa; Chordata; Mammalia; Artiodactyla; Camelidae. The record is from Rfam by way of RNAcentral.
GAGGGCAUAGCUCAGUGGUAGAGCACGUAGCAGGCAUGGGGUCCUGGGUUCAAUCCCCAGUACCUCCG